This 253-nucleotide ribosomal RNA is filed under the name uncultured bacterium. RNAcentral's name for it is "partial 16S ribosomal RNA". It matches the Rfam family "Bacterial small subunit ribosomal RNA", at positions 524 to 776 of the family's 1533-position model. The record is from RNAcentral.
UACGGAGGGGGCUAGCGUUGUUCGGAAUUACUGGGCGUAAAGCGCACGUAGGCGGCUUUGUAAGUUAGAGGUGAAAGCCCAGGGCUUAACCUUGGAAUUGCCUUUAAGACUGCAUCGCUAGAAUUGUGGAGAGGUAAGUGGAAUUCCGAGUGUAGAGGUGAAAUUCGUAGAUAUUCGGAAGAACACCAGUGGCGAAGGCGACUUACUGGACACAUAUUGACGCUGAUGUGCGAAAGCGUGGGGAGCAAACAGG